AGUCGUAGCAAGGUCUCCGUAGGUGAACCUGCGGAGGGAUCAUUACACAAAUAUGAAGGCGGGCUGGAACCUCUCGGGGUUACAGCCUUGCUGAAUUAUUCACCCUUGUCUUUUGCGUACUUCUUGUUUCCUUGGUGGGUUCGCCCACCACUAGGACAAACAUAAACCUUUUGUAAUUGCAAUCAGCGUCAGUAACAAAUUAAUAAUUACAACUUUCAACAACGGAUCUCUUGGUUCUGGCAUCGAUGAAGAACGCAGCGAGAUGCGAUAAGUAGUGUGAAUUGCAGAAUUCAGUGAAUCAUCGAAUCUUUGAACGCACAUUGCGCCCUUUGGUAUUCCAAAGGGCAUGCCUGUUCGAGCGUCAUUUGUACCCUCAAGCUUUGCUUGGUGUUGGGCGUCUUGUCUCUAGCUUUGCUGGAGACUCGCCUUAAAGUAAUUGGCAGCCGGCCUACUGGUUUCGGAGCGCAGCACAAGUCGCACUCUCUAUCAGCAAAGGUCUAGCAUCCAUUAAGCCUUUUUUUCAACUUUUGACCUCGGAUCAGGUAGGGAUACCCGCUGAACUUAAGCAUAUCA
Molecule: ribosomal RNA, 573 nt
Filed under: uncultured fungus
Lineage: Eukaryota; Fungi
Description: eukaryotic LSU rRNA
Rfam family: 5.8S ribosomal RNA (bases 211-364)
Source: RNAcentral